CCGGCCUGGGCUAUUAUUUUUUAUUGAUACAUAACAUUUGUACAUAUUUGUAGGGGGUGUGUCAUAUUUUGAUACCAAGAGCAUAUAAUGAACAAAUCAUGGUAUAAUAUUUAGGACAUCCAUCCUUGAACAUUUAUCAUUUCUUUGUGUUGAGAAUAUUUCAAAUCUUCUUACAACUAUUUUGAAAUGUGCAAUACAUUGUUGUUAACUAUAGUCACCCCACUUUGCUAUCAAACAUUAGAACUUAUUCUCUCUUUGUGUUUGUACCCAUUAACCUAGCUUUCUUCAUCCCUGCCCUACCCCACAUACACUCUUCCCAGCCUCUGGUAUCUCUCAUUCUACUCUCUACCUCCAUGAGAUUCACUUUUUUAGCUCCCACAUAUGAGAACAUGUGAUAUUUUUCUUUUUGUGCUGGGCCAUUAUUAAGCAAAAUAAGGAUUAUUUGAACACAGUACUUUAAUACCGCAACAGUUGACCUGAUAACUGAGUAGUAAGUAGUAAGACUAACAGGCAAGUAAGCACAUACCACACGGAGAUGCUAGACAAACAGAGGAUUCAUGUCCAAGACGGGGCAGGACAGCACAAGAUUUCAUUACCCUACUCAUAAUGGUUCACAAUGCAAACAUUAUGUAUGGAAUUCUCCAUUUAAUAUUUUCAGACCACAGUUGCCUGCAGGUAAGGUAACUGAAACUAUGGAAAGCAAAACAGGAUAAGGGGGGACUCCUGUAUUUCAACCUAGGCAAGGGAUCGCUUGCUAAUGACUACAUAAAUCACUUGUAAGGAAUGACAGUAACUUAAAUUCUGCUUCCUUAAACAUUCAGCAUUUCUCCUGCCACCUUGUUAUAUAUUUGUCAUGAAGAAACUAUUUUCCUCAUAAAGCUAACCUAAACUGUUCACCAUGUGUGUUAGCACACGAGCCAGAUGAGUAGAAUCUGAAUUAUGAUUUUCUCUUUUUUUACCACCUUACUGGUAAUAGGCUUCGAAGACAUGCCAAGCUUCCUUUGACUACCCACACUACUGUGUUUAGUAGCUGACCAACCUGAGAAAUGCCCCUUAUCGCGAGUUUCCAUCUCUUGGUACAGGUUAAAUAAGCCUUAUAAACUAUUGUGAAUUUACCACUGGUCUGCUGCUGUACCACUUGCCAAAUCAUGACCUACCACCAGUGCUUCUCCAGCCCCAGAAAGAAUGUGGGCAGAGGCAACGUUCAAGAAGGAACCGACCAGCUAACACAGCCCCUCUGGUUCCAACCAAUACCCCAGAGCCAUGGUCAACUGAACAAAGGAGACUUGAUUGGCCAACAUAAGGUACAGCAAUAAAGGUGUCCUGCCUUGCCAGUGGCAGCCAGAAAAGAACCAAACUCUACUGACCCCCAAAAUUACAAUCAGCAGAGAAGAUGUUGGGGCUGAAGAGAUCCUGGAAGAGGAGCCCCAAAUGUCUCAUUCACCUGCGUAUGUUCUUCUUUGUCCACAAAGACACCAUUGAUCCUAAGAACUCGGUCUCCAUCCUGAAGGCCAGCCUUCUCUGCUGGGCUACCCUUCUCAACCACCCGGACCAGGUGGCCCUCAGUGUCCUUCUCAAUUCGCAGGAAGAAGCCAUAGUUUUGCCCUUCUUGCUUAGACAGUUUACAUUCUCGGGGGUUGAAGGUGGAGGUCAUUUCUGUGGUGGGAAAAAAAAAUUAAUAAAUCCAUGGAAAAGAGAAA
This is a long non-coding RNA of Piliocolobus tephrosceles (Ugandan red Colobus), 1700 nucleotides long. RefSeq lists it as uncharacterized. The record is from RefSeq and is a predicted model, not a curated record. The transcript has 2 exons. NCBI's taxonomy places the organism in Eukaryota, Metazoa, Chordata, Mammalia, Primates, Cercopithecidae.